This 328-nucleotide ribosomal RNA is filed under the name uncultured eukaryote. RNAcentral describes it as "partial 18S ribosomal RNA". It matches the Rfam family "Eukaryotic small subunit ribosomal RNA", at positions 1470 to 1796 of the family's 1831-position model. The record is from RNAcentral.
CCCUUAGAUGUCCUGGGCCGCACGCGCGUUACACUGAUGCAUUCAACGAGCUUAUAACCUUGGCCGAGAGGCCUGGGCAAUCUUGUUAACGUGCAUCGUGAUAGGGAUAGAUUAUUGAAAUUAUUAAUCUUGAACGAGGAAUUCCUAGUAAACACAGAUCAUCAAUCUGCAUUGAUUACGUCCCUGCCCUUUGUACACACCGCCCGUCGCACCUACCGAUUGGAUGGUCCGGUGAAGCCUCGGGAUUGUGGUUCUUGCCGCUUUAUUGUAGCGUGACCGCGAGAACUUGUCUAAACCUUAUCAUCUAGAGGAAGGUGAAGUCGUAACA